AUUCGGCGUCUCUUAUCUCCUAAGCAACCUGGGGCGGGGCCAGUGGAGGGGCGGAUCCCUCCAACCUGACGGCCAAACGUUUCCUAGACGUUGUCGUUACUGAUAAGAAACUACAUUUCCCAGAAUGCAGUGAGGGUAGCGACCGGGCUACACAGUAGAAACAGGGUUUCACCAUGUUGGCCAUGCUGGUCUCGAACUCCAGAACUCAAGUGAUCCAUGCGCCUCGGUCUUCCAAACUGCUGGGAUUACAGGCAUGAGCCACCGCGCCCAGCCUUUGCGGAAGUUCUUUUUACCGUCCAUCAUCCAUUGCCACCACACCUUCUGCUUACGAGUUAUUUAUAAUAAGUUUAACUAAAAGAGAACGAGAGAACAUCCCCUGAAACCCAAAGUUUGUCAUUCUAUACAGCUUUCCUGCCGGCGAAAGAGGAGGAGCAGACUCAUCCAGCAAAUCACCUAAAAAGUUUGAAGAUCAAAAAGCCUAGCUCCAGUUUCAGAUCCUUCCCCGACCUUUCUGAACACUAGUUUCUUCCUCUGAAAAACGAAAGAGGGAACGGGACCGUAGAGUGGAGUGGGCACAAGAAUCGCAAGUCCCUUCCGGCUAUGACGCUGCAAGACUCUAGGAAAAGAAUAUGUAACACAUCAGAAUUCUUCUCUCCUCCCUGGCCUUAGUCGAGUACCUGAGGGGCAUUAAAAGACUUCCUCCUUGCAAUCACUUACCCAGCAUAGUCCUUAAUACAGUUUAAUAUGAAAUUUAAUAGCCUGGAUCAGAAAAAUGUACACAAGAAAUUUGGAUAUGGUACCAGCGAUAACGAUAAAUUUGCAUUCCUAUAGAAUCCUUUCUCUUCAAGACUAUAACUUUAUCAGAUUCCUGAAGAGAUUGCCAAGAACUGAACAGGGCAGCAAACCUAAAACAGAUGUAAACCAACCAGAUGCAAACGUCUGUGGGGGCAAACCUCUUUGCCAUCUCCUUUCCCUUCCUGUCUUGAUCUGUGCUCAAUUCCUGGAAAAGCCCCUACUCAGGAUCUCCUAAAGUCUCCAGUAGCAUGUUUUCC
Long non-coding RNA from Gorilla gorilla gorilla (western lowland gorilla), 1052 nucleotides. RefSeq lists it as uncharacterized. The transcript is spliced from 5 exons. Lineage: Eukaryota; Metazoa; Chordata; Mammalia; Primates; Hominidae. The record is from RefSeq and is a predicted model, not a curated record.